ACUCCUACGGGACGCAGCAGUGGGGAAUAUUGCACAAUGGGGGAAACCCUGAUGCAGCGACGCCGCGUGGGCGAGGAAGUACCUCGGUAUGUAAAGCCCUAUCAGCAGGGAAGAAACAGGACAGUACCUGACUAAGAAGCCCCGGCUAACUCCGUGCCAGCAGCCGCGGUAAUACGGAGGAUGCGAGCGUUAUCCGGAUUUAUUGGGUUUAAAGGGUGCGUAGGCGGUCCGGAAAGUCAGCGGUAAAAGCCCGGGGCUCAACCCCGGCGAGCCGUUGAAACUGUCGGACUAGAGACGGCGAGAAG
This 305-nucleotide ribosomal RNA is filed under the name uncultured bacterium. RNAcentral describes it as "bacterial SSU rRNA". It matches the Rfam family "Bacterial small subunit ribosomal RNA", at positions 335 to 657 of the family's 1533-position model. The record is from RNAcentral.